This 420-nucleotide ribosomal RNA is filed under the name uncultured bacterium. RNAcentral describes it as "bacterial SSU rRNA". It matches the Rfam family "Bacterial small subunit ribosomal RNA", at positions 355 to 774 of the family's 1533-position model. The record is from RNAcentral.
UAAGGAAUAUUGCCCAAUGGGAGAAAUCCUGAAGCAGCAACGCCGCGUGGAGGAUGAAGGGUCUAUGACUUGUAAACUCCUGUAAAGAAGGAAAAGAUUCCCAUUAGAUGGGAGAUGAUGGUACUUCUGGAGUAAGCCCCGGCUAACUACGUGCCAGCAGCCGCGGUAAUACGUAGGGGGCAAGCGUUGUCCGGAUUUACUGGGUGUAAAGGGUGCUCAGGCGGAUUUGUAAGUCAGAGGUGAAAUCUUACAGCUUAACUGUGAAACUGCCUUUGAUACUGCAAGCCUAGAGUAUGGAAGAGAGUGAUGGAAUAUCUGGUGUAGCAGUGAAAUGCGUAGAUAUCAGAUAGAACACCAAUGGCGAAGGCAGUCACUUGGUCCAUUACUGACGCUAAAGCACGAAAGCGUGGGUAGCAAACA